This 725-nucleotide ribosomal RNA is filed under the name Phocanema krabbei. Its description in RNAcentral is "partial large subunit ribosomal RNA". It matches the Rfam family "Eukaryotic large subunit ribosomal RNA", at positions 92 to 650 of the family's 3401-position model. Lineage: Eukaryota; Metazoa; Nematoda; Chromadorea; Rhabditida; Anisakidae. The record is from RNAcentral.
AGUGAAAGGGGAAGAGCCCAGCGCUGAAUCCAUCGAUCACUGGUCGCUUGGAGUUGUAGCGUAUAGGUGCGGCUAUCCGCUCGUUUCGUGCACCCAAAGUCCCCUUGAGCGGGGCCAUAGUCCAAAGAAGGUGCUAGACCUGUACGGGUGGCGAGGCGGUCGGUUGGUCGCUCCUUGGAGUCGGGUUGCCUGGGAUCGCAGCCCAAAGUUGGUGGUAGACCUCAUCUAAGGCUAAAUAUGGCCACGAAACCGAUAGCAAACAAGUACCGUGAGGGAAAGUUGCAAAGAACUUUGAAGAGAGAGUUCAAGAGGGCGUGAAACCGCCGAGAUUGAAACGGAUAGAGUUGACGAAACUCGAUCGCAUUCAUCCGAUCCGCCUAGCGGUUCGGCGGUUGUUGACUUCCUCGAUGAGGGCAACGCCGUCGCUGGCUGUUGGGUGCUAGAUUGGUGUAUUUGCGGUCGGUAUGCGCCGAGAGCUUUGCGAGCGCAUGUUGACGUUGAUGUAGUGGACCACUCCCUCCGGGCGUGGAACCCUGCAUUGAUUGAGGCAUGUCGUUCGUAGGGUGUUGCUGGGUGACGUCUCCGCUAUGGUGGGUCGGCUUUGUUGGGCUGUUGCGGUUGCUGGGUGAUCGCAUGCGAGCGCCUGUAGCUUGCGAUGGUACGAUGAGGUGCGGACGCGCUUGAGACGUGCAUCUCGGUGUGAACGUUGACCACCUAUCCGACCC